RNAcentral lists this transfer RNA (74 nucleotides) under Marmota monax (woodchuck). RNAcentral's name for it is "tRNA.Ala". It matches the Rfam family "tRNA". Rfam says of the family: Transfer RNA (tRNA) molecules are approximately 80 nucleotides in length. Their secondary structure includes four short double-helical elements and three loops (D, anti-codon, and T loops). The record is from RNAcentral. Lineage: Eukaryota; Metazoa; Chordata; Mammalia; Rodentia; Sciuridae.
GGGUAUAUAACUCAGUUGAUAGAGUGCUUGCCUUGCAUGCUCAAGGCCUUGGGUUCAAUCCCCAGUAUCAUCCC